This is a long non-coding RNA of Lycium ferocissimum, 279 nucleotides long. RefSeq lists it as uncharacterized. The record is from RefSeq and is a predicted model, not a curated record. The transcript is spliced from 2 exons. Lineage: Eukaryota; Viridiplantae; Streptophyta; Magnoliopsida; Solanales; Solanaceae.
UGAGCAUUGAUUAGCCGCUUCGUUCACGAUGCACUAUGUGUGAGAAUUGGCUGCAGCCUUUGUUUAUUUUUGCCCAGUUGUUGUAGUAUAUUGCACUGAUUUGGAUUUUUGCCCAAUCUUCAAGAUGCAGUGAUUUGGAUUUUUGCCCAAUCUUCAAGCUGCAGUGAUUCCUUUCAGUUGCUGUAGUAUAUUGCACUGAUUUGGAUUUUUGUUUUUGCUACAUCUGACAUUUUAUGGCCAUUUGACAUUUUAGUUAUAUUAUAAAGUUAAAACUUCAAA